This 530-nucleotide ribosomal RNA is filed under the name fungal sp. TZ-2015b. RNAcentral's name for it is "eukaryotic LSU rRNA". The stretch from base 167 to 320 matches the Rfam family "5.8S ribosomal RNA". The record is from RNAcentral. Lineage: Eukaryota; Fungi.
CGGGGGGGAUGCCGCAAGGCCUCCCGGGUAACCUACCACCCUUUGUUUAUUACACUUUGUUGCUUUGGCAGGCCUGCCCUCGGGCUGCUGGCUCCGGCCGGCGAGCGCUUGCCAGAGGACCUAAACUCUGUUUGUCUAUACUGUCUGAGUACUAUAUAAUAGUUAAAACUUUCAACAACGGAUCUCUUGGUUCUGGCAUCGAUGAAGAACGCAGCGAAAUGCGAUAAGUAAUGUGAAUUGCAGAAUUCAGUGAAUCAUCGAAUCUUUGAACGCACAUUGCGCCCCCUGGUAUUCCGGGGGGCAUGCCUGUCCGAGCGUCAUUACAACCCUCAAGCUCAGCUUGGUGUUGGGCCCCGCCGCCCCGGCGGGCCCUAAAGUCAGUGGCGGUGCCGUCCGGCUCCGAGCGUAGUAAUUCUUCUCGCUCUGGAGGUCCGGUCGUGUGCUUGCCAUCAACCCCCAAUUUUUUUCAGGUUGACCUCGGAUCAGGUAGGGAUACCCGCUGAACUUAAGCAUAUCAAUAAGCGAAGGAA